Molecule: transfer RNA, 74 nt
Filed under: Pelodiscus sinensis (Chinese soft-shelled turtle)
Lineage: Eukaryota; Metazoa; Chordata; Testudines; Trionychidae
Rfam family: tRNA
About the family: Transfer RNA (tRNA) molecules are approximately 80 nucleotides in length. Their secondary structure includes four short double-helical elements and three loops (D, anti-codon, and T loops). Further hydrogen bonds mediate the characteristic L-shaped molecular structure. tRNAs have two regions of fundamental functional importance: the anti-codon, which is responsible for specific mRNA codon recognition, and the 3' end, to which the tRNAs corresponding amino acid is attached (by aminoacyl-tRNA synthetases). tRNAs cope with the degeneracy of the genetic code in two manners: having more than one tRNA (with a specific anti-codon) for a particular amino acid; and 'wobble' base-pairing, i.e. permitting non-standard base-pairing at the 3rd anti-codon position.
Source: Rfam by way of RNAcentral
GGCCAACUAGCUCAGUUGGUUAGCGCAUGGUGCUAAUAAUGCCAAGGUCAUGGGUUCAACCCCCAUGGUGGCCA